UGGUUUAAUUCGAUGCAACGCGAAGAACCUUACCUACUCUUGACAUCCAGAGAACUUUCCAGAGAUGGAUUGGUGCCUUCGGGAACUCUGAGACAGGUGCUGCAUGGCUGUCGUCAGCUCGUGUUGUGAAAUGUUGGGUUAAGUCCCGCAACGAGCGCAACCCUUAUCCUUGUUUGCCAGCGAGUAAUGUCGGGAACUCCAGGGAGACUGCCGGUGAUAAACCGGAGGAAGGUGGGGACGACGUCAAGUCAUCAUGGCCCUUACGAGUAGGGCUACACACGUGCUACAAUGGCGCAUACAGAGGGCAGCAAGCUAGCGAUAGUGAGCGAAUCCCAAAAAGUGCGUCGUAGUCCGGAUUGGAGUCUGCAACUCGACUCCAUGAAGUCGGAAUCGCUAGUAAUCG
RNAcentral lists this ribosomal RNA (403 nucleotides) under Vibrio sp. RNAcentral's name for it is "bacterial SSU rRNA". It matches the Rfam family "Bacterial small subunit ribosomal RNA", at positions 942 to 1344 of the family's 1533-position model. Lineage: Bacteria; Pseudomonadati; Pseudomonadota; Gammaproteobacteria; Vibrionales; Vibrionaceae. The record is from RNAcentral.